AAAUGAUGAGCUUUUUUGAACAAAACUACAUUCGUUAUGGACCUGGGAUUCCUGGAAGUGACAUCUGAUGAAGAGAAUCAAAGGCUACGCUGCCGCCCCGGCCAGAGGAAGAGCUGUCAUUCAUUGAAGAUGCAACUAAAGAGAGUCCAGCUACAGAAUAGUCUAAAUACCAGGACCACUGAGAGAGACCAGUUACAGAACAGUCUAAAUACCAGGACCACAGAAAGAGACCAGUUACAGAACAGCCUAAAUACCAGGACCACCGAGAGAGACCAGCUACAGAAUAGCCUAUAUUCCAGGACCACAGAGAGAGACCAGCUACAAAAUAGUCUCACCACAAGGACCAAAGACAGGGACCAGCAGCAAAAUAAUCUUAAAGUUAUGACUGCUGAAAGAGAUCAAUUAAAGAUUAGUCUUAACUCAAGGACUAAAGAGAGAGACCAGUUGCAGAAUAGUCUAAAUACCAG
This 467-nucleotide long non-coding RNA is filed under the name Salmo salar (Atlantic salmon). RNAcentral describes it as "lncRNA (ENSSSAG00000098948.1)". Lineage: Eukaryota; Metazoa; Chordata; Actinopteri; Salmoniformes; Salmonidae. The record is from RNAcentral.